GAUGAACGCUGGCGGCGUGCCUAAUACAUGCAAGUCGAGCGAACAGAUGAGGAGCUUGCUCCUCUGACGUUAGCGGCGGACGGGUGAGUAACACGUGGAUAACCUACCUAUAAGACUGGGAUAACUUCGGGAAACCGGAGCUAACACCGGAUAAUAUAUUGAUCCGCAUGGUUCAAUAGUGAAAGACGGUUUUGCUGUCACUUAUAGAUGGAUCCGCGCCGCAUUAGCUAGUUGGUAAGGUAACGGCUUACCAAGGCAACGAUGCGUAGCCGACCUGAGAGGGUGAUCGGCCACACUGGAACUGAGACACGGGCCAGACUCCGACGGGAGGCAGCAGUAGGGAAUCUUCCGCAAUGGGCGAAAGCCUGACGGAGCAACGCCGCGUGAGUGAUGAAGGUCUUCGGAGCGUAAAACUCUGUUAUUAGGGAAGAACAAAUGUGUAAGUAACUAUGCACGUCUUGACGGUACCUAAUCAGAAAGCCACGGCUAACUACGUG
This 497-nucleotide ribosomal RNA is filed under the name uncultured bacterium. Its description in RNAcentral is "partial 16S ribosomal RNA". It matches the Rfam family "Bacterial small subunit ribosomal RNA", at positions 28 to 507 of the family's 1533-position model. The record is from RNAcentral.